UAUGCAUGCAACAUUGAUUCUCCGGACCGAGGUCACCUUUGAGGCAACCGUCUGCAAACUCCUCUAACCUCUUCACCUUGGAUCAUCAUCAACUGUUGAGGCAUCUCCGUUGUCCAGACCGGUCAAUCAUGAAACCAAAUAGAAUUCGACUUGAAUAAUACCAAUCAUUGUAAGAAAAUAUGAUAUGGAAAUGCUGUUCGCUUUGUGUGGCAUACCCAUGCUUAACGGUACAGGAACACUCAAAUCCUGUUUUCUCACAAUCGAUUGGCAGAUCUAAAACUCCGCGUAUAUUCGGUGUCAUGUAAAGCAUGCAUGUGGGACAAGCGUCGAGCCAUCGUUUCCGGUUAUCGAUUGUCAACCAAGUCACGAGUCGUCCAAGAGUCGAGAGCAGGCCCAACCAAGAAGACACCCCGGAUAGGAGAAACCCCGUCUCCUUUUGCCGUCCGCCUUCACCCCCUAACAUUCAACGGCUGUCACUUCCGACGGUUCUCCUCCUCCCAGUGCGUUGUCGACGGAAGAACUGCCACACGAGCUGGACGGGAGUCGAUUCGAGCUAUAGGGAGGGAACACCUGCGAUGCCCUGUGGGAGUUCGGCUAAGGUAAAAGUCGAGGCAAACAACGACGAACAAGCAGGAGAGAAAAUCCCACUGUUGAGGCAGCGCUCCGUGGGACCGAAAAAAAUGAAACCAAUAAAAAUGCAUUUCAAUCAAUUACCACAA
This is a long non-coding RNA of Aedes aegypti (yellow fever mosquito), 719 nucleotides long. RefSeq lists it as uncharacterized. The record is from RefSeq and is a predicted model, not a curated record. Lineage: Eukaryota; Metazoa; Arthropoda; Insecta; Diptera; Culicidae. The transcript has 3 exons.